This 253-nucleotide ribosomal RNA is filed under the name uncultured bacterium. RNAcentral describes it as "partial 16S ribosomal RNA". It matches the Rfam family "Bacterial small subunit ribosomal RNA", at positions 524 to 776 of the family's 1533-position model. The record is from RNAcentral.
UACGUAGGGGGCAAGCGUUGUCCGGAUUUAUUGGGCGUAAAGAGCGUGUAGGCGGCUUGGUAGGUCCGCUGUGAAAACUCGAGGCUCAACCUCGAGAUGUCGGCGGAAACCACUUGGCUAGAGUCCGGAAGAGGAGAGUGGAAUUCCCGGUGUAGCGGUGAAAUGCGCAGAUAUCGGGAAGAACACCUGUGGCGAGGGCAGCUCUCUGGGACGGUACUGACGCUGAGACGCGAAAGCGUGGGGAGCGAACAGG